Molecule: non-coding RNA, 198 nt
Filed under: Clostridium magnum
Lineage: Bacteria; Bacillati; Bacillota; Clostridia; Eubacteriales; Clostridiaceae
Description: T-box sequence
Rfam family: T-box leader
About the family: Uncharged tRNA acts as the effector for transcription antitermination of genes in the T-box leader family. T-boxes are found upstream of many aminoacyl-tRNA synthetase genes and some amino acid biosynthetic genes usually in Gram-positive bacteria.
Source: RNAcentral
GAAAAAGCAAUGACAGGAUUAAGUAGAUGUGUUAAAUAUUUCUUAGAGAGUGGGGUAUGGUGGAAACCCAUAAAUAUACAUUUCGAAACUCACCCUGUAGCUGCAGGCUGAACUAAUAGUAAGCUAUGCCGGUGAAAGCCGUUAUUUUAAUGAAGUAAGAAAUUUGGGUGGUACCGCGACAGACCUUUCGCCCCAUGA